UACGGGGGGGGCAAGCGUUGUUCGGAAUUACUGGGCGUAAAGGGCGCGUAGGCGGGUGGACAAGUCUCUCGUGAAAGCCCACGGCUCAACCGUGGAAUUGCGGGAGAUACUGUCUGUCUUGAGUCCGGGAGAGGAGGGUGGAAUUCCCAGUGUAGCGGUGAAAUGCGUAGAUAUUGGGAGGAACACCGGUGGCGAAGGCGGCUCUCUGGACCGGUAAUGACUUUGAGGCGCGAAAGCUAGGGGAGCAAACGGG
Molecule: ribosomal RNA, 253 nt
Filed under: uncultured bacterium
Lineage: Bacteria
Description: partial 16S ribosomal RNA
Rfam family: Bacterial small subunit ribosomal RNA
Source: RNAcentral